RNAcentral lists this ribosomal RNA (275 nucleotides) under Clostridioides difficile. RNAcentral describes it as "partial 23S ribosomal RNA". It matches the Rfam family "Bacterial large subunit ribosomal RNA", at positions 144 to 421 of the family's 2925-position model. Lineage: Bacteria; Bacillati; Bacillota; Clostridia; Peptostreptococcales; Peptostreptococcaceae. The record is from RNAcentral.
CUAAGUAUCAUUAAGUGAAUACAUAGCUUAAUGAGGGGAACUCAGGGAACUGAAACAUCUAAGUACCUGAAGGAAGAGAAAGAAAUUCGAUUCCGUAAGUAGCGGCGAGCGAACGCGGAUUAGCCCAAACCAAUAAAGUUUUCUUUAUUGGGGUUGUGGACAUAUCAUAACGAAGAGGUAUCGUAAUUGAAGAGGUUUGGAAAGACCCACCACAGAAGGUAAUAGUCCUGUAUGUUAAACGAGAAGACUUUAGAUAUGAUCCAGAGUACCACGGG